RNAcentral lists this ribosomal RNA (449 nucleotides) under uncultured bacterium. RNAcentral describes it as "partial 16S ribosomal RNA". It matches the Rfam family "Bacterial small subunit ribosomal RNA", at positions 338 to 795 of the family's 1533-position model. The record is from RNAcentral.
CCUACGGGCGGCUGCAGUGGGGAAUAUUGGACAAUGGGGGAAACCCUGAUCCAGCAAUGCCGCGUGUGUGAAGAAGGCCUGCGGGUUGUAAAGCACUUUCGGUUGGGAAGAAACGUUUGGCGCCAAUACCGCCGAACCUUGACGUUACUGACAGAAGAAGCACCGGCUAACUCUGUGCCAGCAGCCGCGGUAAUACAGAGGGUGCAACCGUUAAUCGAAAUCACUUGGCGUAACAUGUACGUAGGGUGUCAAAGCCCCGGGCUGAACCUGGGAACUGCAUUCGAUACUACAUGGCUAGAGUAUGGUAGAGGGAAGUGGAAUUUCCGGUGUAGCGGUGAAAUGCGUAGAUAUCGGAAGGAACACCAAUGGCGAAGGCAGCUUCCUGGACUAAUACUGACACUGAGGCACGAAAGCGUGGGUAGCAAACAGGAUUAGAUACCCCUGUAGUC